CUACGGGAGGCAGCAGUGAGGAAUAUUGGACAAUGGGCGCAAGCCUGAUCCAGCCAUGCCGCGUGCAGGAUGACGGUCCUAUGGAUUGUAAACUGCUUUUGUACAGGAAGAAACAGUUCUACGUGUAGAACCUUGACGGUACUGUAAGAAUAAGGAUCGGCUAACUCCGUGCCAGCAGCCGCGGUACUACGGAGGAUCCAAGCGUUAUCCGGAAUCAUUGGGUUUAAAGGGUCCGUAGGCGGUUUAGUAAGUCAGUGGUGAAAGCCCAUCGCUCAACGGUGGAACGGCCAUUGAUACUGCUAGACUUGAAUUAUUAGGAAGUAACUAGAAUAUGUAGUGUAGCGGUGAAAUGCUUAGAGAUUACAUGGAAUACCAAUUGCGAAGGCAGGUUACUACUAAUGGACUGACGCUGAUGGACGAAAGCGUGGGUAGCGAACAGGAUUAGAAACCCGUGUAGUCCU
This 461-nucleotide ribosomal RNA is filed under the name uncultured bacterium. Its description in RNAcentral is "bacterial SSU rRNA". It matches the Rfam family "Bacterial small subunit ribosomal RNA", at positions 339 to 797 of the family's 1533-position model. The record is from RNAcentral.